This 432-nucleotide ribosomal RNA is filed under the name uncultured bacterium. RNAcentral's name for it is "partial 16S ribosomal RNA". It matches the Rfam family "Bacterial small subunit ribosomal RNA", at positions 29 to 507 of the family's 1533-position model. The record is from RNAcentral.
AACGAACGCUGGCGGCAUGCCUAACACAUGCAAGUCGAACGAGACCUUCGGGUCUAGUGGCGCACGGGUGCGUAACGCGUGGGAACCUGCCCUUAGGUUCGGAAUACUCCCCGAAAGGGGUGCUAAAACCGGAUAAUGUCUUCGGACCAAAGAUUUAUCGCCUUUGGAUGGGCCCGCGUUGGAUUAGCUAGUUGGUAGGGUAAAAGCCUACCAAGGCGACGAUCCAUAGCUGGUCUGAGAGGAUGAUCAGCCACACUGGGACUGAGACACGGCCCAGACUCCUACGGGAGGCAGCAGUGGGGAAUAUUGGACAAUGGGCGAAAGCCUGAUCCAGCAAUGCCGCGUGAGUGAUGAAGGCCUUAGGGUUGUAAAGCUCUUUUACCCGGGAUGAUAAUGACAGUACCGGGAGAAUAAGCUCCGGCUAACUCCGUG